UGAAGAGGACACGGUAGGCUGUGGGCUGCAGGGUGGACCCCAGCAGCAAGGAGUAAGCUGCCCGAGAGCACCUGGAGUUGUGUUUAAACGUUACCAGCAGCCGGGCGGUGGUGGCGCACGCCUUUAAUCCCAGCACUCGGGAGGCAGAGCCAGGCGGAUCUCUGUGAGUUCGAGGCCAGCCUGGGCUACCAAGUGAGUUCCAGGAGAGGCGCAAAGCUACACAGAGAAACCCUGUCUCGAAAAAAAAAAAAAAAAAAAAAAAAAAAAACGUUACCAGCUUCGCCAACAAGGGCCUAAGCAGUGAGGAAAUGCUUACAUUUGAGAAGAAUUUUAGUAGUAUGUGCUGUUUUAAGGUAUUUGAAAAUAAUCUUAUAGGUAAUAUAUCCUAAACUUUAUUCUAUUGCUUUGCCUUUGCAGCACCUGACUUACAUAUAUCCACAUCUCACUAAAACGGAUAUUCGUGCACACUAAGAACAUCUCAAAGUCCUACAAGGUUUCUAGGAAGAGGAGCAACGGUCCCGUGCCAAGUUCCACAAAGGUGAAGAAGAAAGACUGAUAAAAAAAAAUCCCUCCAAUUCCACCAGUGCCUCCACCUCACCAUGUGCUGCUUGGCCAUGGAAGGCACACAGCUCCUCUCCUUCGGCUGCUCCGAGAGCAAGGAGAUAACAGCUUCACACUGUCAUCUGUAAACAGCCUCUCUCCACGCAGGCAUGGCCAGCUGACUCGUAAUGAGAAAGGGGAGAACUGCUGGGCGGUGGUGGCGCACGCCUUUAAUCCCAGCACUGGGAGGCAGAGCCAGGCAGAUCUCUGUGAGUUUGAGGCCAGCCUGGGCUACAGAGUGAGUUCCAGGAAAGGCAUCAAAGCUACACAGAGAAACCCUGUCUCGAAAAACCAAAAAAGAGAAAGGGAAGAACCAAGACCCCGGCUUUGAGCAGGAGUCUUAUCUGAGGCACCCUGACAGAGCGCAGGGGAUUCACUACAGCACACCAUGUCAGGUCUUCAGCCUGGGGAGGGACUAUGUGCUCUAACACAAGCUGAUGGGGUACUGAGUGACAGUUCUUAAUGUAACACUGCCACUAAGCCUUGGCUAUGUGUGCAGGACUUCCUCGCUGCAUGGGAGGGACAUGGGCACCGGGAAAGAAUGUUGGGAGGUAUUUUCUGCAAAGAAACACUGCCCAGGCUGCUGUAGGUUUAGCCUGAUGAAGGUGUUCCUAAUCACCACAGACUCAAAGCCGCAAGCAAGUAACAGUCUUUCCUCGUUUUUUUAAAACCAUAAAACUGACUUCUGAGUAAAGACUAUCAAAAGCCA
Peromyscus californicus insignis is the source of this 1309-nucleotide long non-coding RNA. RefSeq lists it as uncharacterized. The record is from RefSeq and is a predicted model, not a curated record. The transcript has 2 exons. Lineage: Eukaryota; Metazoa; Chordata; Mammalia; Rodentia; Cricetidae.